Molecule: ribosomal RNA, 749 nt
Filed under: uncultured Xenococcus sp.
Lineage: Bacteria; Bacillati; Cyanobacteriota; Cyanophyceae; Pleurocapsales; Xenococcaceae
Description: bacterial SSU rRNA
Rfam family: Bacterial small subunit ribosomal RNA
Source: RNAcentral
UGGCUCAGGAUGAACGCUGGCGGUAUGCCUAACACAUGCAAGUCGAACGAACUCGCAAGAGAGAGUGGCGGACGGGUGAGUAACGCGUGAGAAUCUGCCUUCAGGAUGGGGACAACAGUUGGAAACGACUGCUAAUACCCAAUAUGCCCUAAGGGGUGAAAGUUAUCUCGCCUGAAGAGGAGCUCGCGUCCGAUUAGCUAGUUGGUGGGGUAAGAGCCUACCAAGGCAGCGAUCGGUAGCUGGUCUGAGAGGAUGAGCAGCCACACUGGGACUGAGACACGGCCCAGACUCCUACGGGAGGCAGCAGUGGGGAAUUUUCCGCAAUGGGCGAAAGCCUGACGGAGCAAUACCGCGUGAGGGAGGAAGGCUUUUGGGUUGUAAACCUCUUUUCUCAAGGAAGAAGCCAGUGACGGUACUUGAGGAAUCAGCAUCGGCUAACUCCGUGCCAGCAGCCGCGGUAAUACGGAGGAUGCAAGCGUUAUCCGGAAUCAUUGGGCGUAAAGCGUCCGCAGGUGGCGUAUCAAGUCUGCUGUCAAAGACUAGAGCUCAACUCUGGAAAGGCGGUGGAAACUGGUAGGCUAGAGUACGGUAGGGGUAGAGGGAAUUCCCAGUGUAGCGGUGAAAUGCGUAGAUAUUGGGAAGAACACCAGUGGCGAAGGCGCUCUACUGGGCCGUAACUGACACUCAGGGACGAAAGCUAGGGUAGCGAAAGGGAUUAGAUACCCCUGUAGUCUUAGCUGUAAACGAUG